Molecule: ribosomal RNA, 497 nt
Filed under: uncultured bacterium
Lineage: Bacteria
Description: partial 16S ribosomal RNA
Rfam family: Bacterial small subunit ribosomal RNA
Source: RNAcentral
GAUGAACGCUGGCGGCGUGCCUAAUACAUGCCAGUCGAGCGAACAGACGAGGAGCUUGCUCCUCUGACGUUAGCGGCGGACGGGUGAGUAACACGUGGAUAACCUACCUAUAAGACUGGGAUAACUUCGGGAAACCGGAGCUAAUACCGGAUAAUAUAUUGAACCGCAUGGUUCAAUAGUGAAAGACGGUUUUGCUGUCACUUAUAGAUGGAUCCGCGCUGCAUUAGCUAGUUGGUAAGGUAACGGCUUACCAAGGCAACGAUGCGUAGCCGACCUGAGAGGGUGAUCGGCCACACUGGAACUGAGACACGGUCCAGACUCCUACGGGAGGCGGCAGUAGGGAAUCUUCCGCAAUGGGCGAAAGCUUGACGGAGCAACGCCGCGUGAGUGAUGAAGGUCUUCGGAUCGUAAAACUCUGUUAUUAGGGAAGAACAAAUGUGUAAGUAACUAUGCACGUCUUGACGGUACCUAAUCAGAAAGCCACGGCUAACUACGUG